UGCUGCUCUGAACACAGGCUUGUG
This 24-nucleotide non-coding RNA is filed under the name Mus musculus (house mouse). Lineage: Eukaryota; Metazoa; Chordata; Mammalia; Rodentia; Muridae. The record is from RNAcentral.